CAUGCCGAGCGGUAUAAUCUUUCGGGAUCUUGAGAGCGGCGUACGGGUGCGGAACACGUGUGCAACCUGCCUUAUUGGGGGAUAGCCUUUCAAAGGAAGAUUAAUACCCCAUAAUAUUUUGAAUGGCAUCAUUUAAAAUUGAAAACUCCGGUGGAUAGAGAUGGGCACGCGCAAGAUUAGAUAGUUGGUGAGGUAACGGCUCACCAAGUCUGCGAUCUUUAGGGGCUGAGAGGGUGAUCCCCCACACUGGUACUGAACACGGACCAACUCUACGGGAGGCAGCAGUGAGGAAUAUUGGACAAUGGGUGAGAGCCUGAUCCAGCCAUCCCGCGUGAAGGACGACGGCCCUAUGGGUUGUAAACUUCUUUUGUAUAGGGAUAAACCUUUCCACGUGUGGGAAGCUGAAGGUACUAUACGAAUAAGCACCGGCUAACUCCGUGCCAGCAGCCGCGGUAAUACGGAGGGUGCAAGCGUUAUCCGGAUUUAUUGGGUUUAAAGGGUCCGUAGCGGAUCUGUAAGUCAGUGGUGAAAUCUCACAGCUUAACUGUGAAACUGCCAUUGAUACUGCAGGUCUUGAGUGUUAUUGAAGUAGCUGGAAUAAGUAGUGUAGCGGUGAAAUGCAUAGAUUUACUUAAACACCAAUUGCGAAGCAGUUACUAAGCAACAACUGACGCUAUGGACGAAAGCGUGGGGAGCAACAGGAUUAGAUACUGGUAGUACGCCUGAUGCUAUCGUUUUUGGGCUUUCGGGUUCAAGACUAACGAAAGGAUAAUUACCACCUGGGGAGUACGUUCGCAAAAUGAAACUCAAAGGAAUUGAGGGGCCCCACAACGGUGGAUUAUGGUUAAUUCGAUGAUGAGGAAUUAGGCUUUGGAAAUGAGGAGAAAUUUUUUUUUGCUGCACAGUCCGGUUACAAGUACUUAUGGCUCAAGGAACACGCGUUGAUCU
This 948-nucleotide ribosomal RNA is filed under the name Pseudomonas sp. BMO1_1G6. RNAcentral describes it as "bacterial SSU rRNA". It matches the Rfam family "Bacterial small subunit ribosomal RNA", at positions 58 to 1223 of the family's 1533-position model. The record is from RNAcentral. Lineage: Bacteria; Pseudomonadati; Pseudomonadota; Gammaproteobacteria; Pseudomonadales; Pseudomonadaceae.